GGUAACUUUACGUCGAUGUGUUUCACACAGGCAAAUAUCUACAACUGUUGAAGUGUAAACAAUAAUAUUAAAAUGCAUAUUAAGCAGAUUAUAAUACAAGGAUUUAAAAGUUACAAAGACCAAACAGUGGUCGAGCCCUUUGACAAGAGGCAUAAUGUGGUUGUUGGAAGGAACGGUUCUGGAAAAAGUAAUUUUUUUUAUGGUAUUUAAUUUUCUUAAAUUUAGUAGAAGCAUUAAGGACUUAUAUUAUUAACUAAAUCGAAAACAAGCAUGAAAGUUCUAAAAUUCGGCUGUACCCAAAAGUUUUCAUUUUCUUAUUUUCUGAAGCACAAGGAAUUGCAUUAUGGAGUUUGCAUGGCUGCGAUUUA
Bactrocera tryoni is the source of this 368-nucleotide long non-coding RNA. RefSeq lists it as uncharacterized. The record is from RefSeq and is a predicted model, not a curated record. Lineage: Eukaryota; Metazoa; Arthropoda; Insecta; Diptera; Tephritidae. The transcript has 3 exons.